UGGGGAAUCUUCCGCAAUGGACGAAAGUCUGACGGAGCAACGCCGCGUGAGUGAAGAAGGACUUCGGGUUGUAAAGCUCUGUGAUCCGGGACGAAAGAGCCUGAGGUAAAUAGCCUAAGGAAGUGACGGUACCGGAAAAGCAAGCCACGGCUAACUACGUGCCAGCAGCCGCGGUAAUACGUAGGUGGCAAGCGUUGUCCGGAAUUAUUGGGCGUAAAGCGCGCGCAGGCGGCUUACUAAGUCCAUCUUAAAAGUGCGGGGCUUAACCCCGUGAUGGGAUAGAAGCUGGAAAGCUGGGGUAUCGGGGGGGAAAGUGGAAUUCCUAGUGUAGCGGUGAAAUGCGUAAAGAUUAAGAAGAACACCGGUGGAGGAGGCGACUUUCUGGUCGAAAAAUGACGCUGAGGCGCGAAAGCGUGAGGAGCAAGCAGG
Molecule: ribosomal RNA, 429 nt
Filed under: Fusobacteriota bacterium
Lineage: Bacteria; Fusobacteriati; Fusobacteriota
Description: Fusobacteria bacterium partial 16S ribosomal RNA
Rfam family: Bacterial small subunit ribosomal RNA
Source: RNAcentral